Molecule: ribosomal RNA, 497 nt
Filed under: uncultured bacterium
Lineage: Bacteria
Description: partial 16S ribosomal RNA
Rfam family: Bacterial small subunit ribosomal RNA
Source: RNAcentral
GAUGAACGCUGGCGGCGUGCCUAAUACAUGCAAGUCGAGCGAACGGACGAGAAGCUUGCUUUUCUGAUGUUAGCGGCGGACGGGUGAGUAACACGUGGAUAACCUACUUAUAAGACUGGGAUAACUUCGGGAAACCGGAGCUAAUACCGGAUAAUAUUUUGAACCGCAUGGUUCAAAAGUGAAAGACGGUCUUGCUGUCACUUAUAGAUGGUUCCGCGCUGCAUUAGCUAGUUGGUAAGGUAACGGCUUACCAAGGCAACGAUGCAUAGCCGACCUGAGAGGGGGAUCGGCCACACUGGAACUGAGACACGGUCCAGACUCCUACGGGAGGCAGCAGUAGGGAAUCUUCCGCAAUGGGCGAAAGCCUGACGGAGCAACGCCGCGUGAGUGAUGAAGGUCUUCGGAUCGUAAAACUCUGUUAUUAGGGAAGAACAUAUGUGUAAGUAACUGUGCACAUCUUGACGGUACCUAAUCAGAAAGCCACGGCUAACUACGUG